GAUGAACGCUGGCGGCGUGCCUAAUACAUGCAAGUCGAGCGAACAGACGAGGAGCUUGCUCCUCUGACGUUAGCGGCACACGGGUGAGUAACACGUGGAUAACCUACCUAUAAGACUGGUAUAACUUCGGGAAACCGGAGCUAAUACCGUAUAAGAUAUUGAACCGCAGGGUUCAAUAGUGAAAGACGGUGUUGCUGGCACGUAUAGAUGGAUCCGCGCCGCAUUAGCUAGUUGGUAAGGUAACGGCUUACCAAGGCAACGAUGCGUAGCCGACCUAAGAGGGUGAUCGGCCACCCUGGAACUGGGCCACGGUCCAGACUCCUACGGGAGGCAGCAGUAGGGAACCUGCGGCAAUGGGCGAAAGCCUGACGGAGCAACGCCGAGUGAGUGAUGAAGGUGUUCGGAUCGUAAAACUCUGUUAUUAGGGAAGAACAAAUGUGUAAGUAACUAUGCACGUCUUGACGGUAACUAAUAAGAAAGCCACGGCUAACUACGUG
This 497-nucleotide ribosomal RNA is filed under the name uncultured bacterium. RNAcentral describes it as "partial 16S ribosomal RNA". It matches the Rfam family "Bacterial small subunit ribosomal RNA", at positions 28 to 507 of the family's 1533-position model. The record is from RNAcentral.